Molecule: transfer RNA, 87 nt
Filed under: Pyricularia oryzae
Lineage: Eukaryota; Fungi; Ascomycota; Sordariomycetes; Magnaporthales; Pyriculariaceae
Description: tRNA-Arg
Rfam family: tRNA
About the family: Transfer RNA (tRNA) molecules are approximately 80 nucleotides in length. Their secondary structure includes four short double-helical elements and three loops (D, anti-codon, and T loops).
Source: RNAcentral
GGCCCGGUGGCGUAAUGGUAGCGCGUCUGACUACGAUUCAUGAAAUCAGCAAUCAGGAGGCUGCAGGUUCGAGACCUGCCCGAGUCG